RNAcentral lists this long non-coding RNA (594 nucleotides) under Chloebia gouldiae (Gouldian finch). RNAcentral describes it as "Erythrura gouldiae (Gouldian finch) lncRNA (ENSEGOG00005000909.1)". Lineage: Eukaryota; Metazoa; Chordata; Aves; Passeriformes; Passeridae. The record is from RNAcentral.
CCCGGCCCGGCCCCGUGCCCGACCCCGGCCCGCCCGACCCCUGCCCGCAGCGGGGCCGCGGUCCCAACCCCAUGUGUCCCACUUGUCUGGAUUAACAUUUGAAGUCUGGCAGUCUGGUCCUUUUCGUAGCUCCUGAGGAUUUUUAGAAGCAUGGGGAGCAUGGGAUGAGUGGACCUCUGGACCCACAAAACUCUGUGGAGAAUGCUGGCUGUGGAUAAAAACAUCUGGAAGUUUCUACCAUCUUUUUACCCUGUUUUUCCCUGGAUCACCCUGUGUCAUUUGUGGUCCUGCCCUGAGGAUUAUAGCAUACAGUCAUUUACUGGAAUACCUCCCCAUGCAUCUUCUUGAAAUGGAGCCAUUGCUUUACCCAGCUGGAAGAUAUUUUCUCUUCUCCCAGAGCUUUUCCAGUGCAGCAACACUCCUGUCCAUCAGGUCUCAGUUGACUGCAGAAAGGAGAAGGGAGGAGUGUGUCAAAGGGAGGUCAGAUCUUGCCAGGGUUUCCUGGGAAAUGAGGUGAGUGGUGAUGUCUUUCAGUACUCAUAAGCCUGGAGAUAGAAGCCCUCCAGGUCUUCCCUGUACCCUUUGUGUGAGACC